UGAGGAAUUUUGGACAAUGGGGGAAACCCUGAUCCAGCGACGCCGCGUGAGGGAUGAAGGUCUUCGGAUUGUAAACCUCUUUUGCCUGGGAAUAACCGCCCCGUGGAAACACGGGGAAUGAAUGUACCAGGCGAAUAAGCCACGGCUAACUUCGUGCCAGCAGCCGCGGUAAUACGAAGGUGGCAAGCGUUACUCGGAAUUACUAGGCGUAAAGGGCAGGUAGGCGGUCUGGUUAGUCUGUUGUGAAAGCUCCUUGCUUAACGGGGAGAGGCCAACAGAUACUGCCAGGCUUGAGUAUAGGAGAGGGUACUGGAAUUCCCGGUGUAGCGGUGAAAUGCGCAGAGAUCGGGAGGAACACCAAUGGCGAAAGCAGGUACCUGGACUAUUACUGACGCUCAGCUGCGAAAGCUAGGGGAGCAAACAGG
RNAcentral lists this ribosomal RNA (425 nucleotides) under uncultured bacterium. RNAcentral's name for it is "bacterial SSU rRNA". It matches the Rfam family "Bacterial small subunit ribosomal RNA", at positions 355 to 776 of the family's 1533-position model. The record is from RNAcentral.